UCCCUGGUGGCUCAGACGGUAAAGCAUCUGCCUACAAUGCGGAAGGCCUGGGUUCAAUUCCUGGGUUGGGAA
RNAcentral lists this transfer RNA (72 nucleotides) under Bos taurus (domestic cattle). It matches the Rfam family "tRNA". From Rfam's summary of the family: Transfer RNA (tRNA) molecules are approximately 80 nucleotides in length. Lineage: Eukaryota; Metazoa; Chordata; Mammalia; Artiodactyla; Bovidae. RNAcentral also lists the same sequence under 5 other names. The record is from Rfam by way of RNAcentral.